CAGCAGCCGCGGUAAUACAGAGGGUGCGAGCGUUAAUCGGAUUUACUGGGCGUAAAGCGUGCGUAGGCGGCUUUUUAAGUCGGAUGUGAAAUCCCUGAGCUUAACUUAGGAAUUGCAUUCGAUACUGGGAAGCUAGAGUAUGGGAGAGGAUGGUAGAAUUCCAGGUGUAGCGGUGAAAUGCGUAGAGAUCUGGAGGAAUACCGAUGGCGAAGGCAGCCAUCUGGCCUAAUACUGACGCUGAGGUACGAAAGCAUGGGGAGCAAACAGGAUUAGAUACCCCCGUAGUCCCUGUCUCUUAUAU
This 301-nucleotide ribosomal RNA is filed under the name uncultured bacterium. Its description in RNAcentral is "partial 16S ribosomal RNA". It matches the Rfam family "Bacterial small subunit ribosomal RNA", at positions 509 to 809 of the family's 1533-position model. The record is from RNAcentral.